CGGAUGUCCUGUCUGAUUGGUACGACUCGUCACAAUUUCCGAUUUAGUGCUGUUGAAGCCAAGAAUGGUGUCUUGGAAGAGUAAUGAUCAGGAGAAUCUUUUCAAAUAUCAAGAGCUUCUUUGUUUGGUCUUCAUUACCUUUAUUCUCAAAGAAGGAAAUGGAUGCAAGUCACUCUUAGGGAUUGAAGGGAAGUAAAAGUGUGGCAGGCAUUUUUUGCCGUUAGUGCAGUCUUAAUCAGAAUUUUCGGAAUUGGAACGGAAAAGAUCUUGCAAGCGAUGAGCUGAGUAGAAAAGCUCAUGUGGAAAAGGAAUAUUAGAUUGGCUCUUAUCCCAAGGAGGACCAAGAUAGAAGAGACGGAAAAGGAGAUUUGACCUUCAUUUUGUUCUGAAGUAUGGGAACUAUUGCCCGCUUUGGAAAAAUAUUUCGGUACAGGACAAAUAACUAUCAUGAUGACACAUGUGCUUCCACGUUCCACACAGUUGCUCCAGGGGCAUGAAAAGAAAGCGGGGAUGUAAGAGAUGCAGAGUGUAGCAGGGAGACGGCUUAGGGGGUUCGAUCCACAGAGAGCGCUCCUGAGAAGGGUAGAUUAAGCAUCCAUUUGGUUUUUAUGGAAUGGAUAUGAUUUCAAGAUCUGGUAAUCAGCCCUUUCAGAAGGCGGAGGAUUUAGAAGGGGACUGUUCGAGAAAAAUAUGAAGUCUGAAACCUUCAGACUUCAUAUUUCCCGGACAUUCCCGAACACAUGUCCCAAGGCAGAGAUAUGUGUUUUACACUUUUCUUCAUUUUU
Molecule: long non-coding RNA, 785 nt
Organism: Stylophora pistillata
Lineage: Eukaryota; Metazoa; Cnidaria; Anthozoa; Scleractinia; Pocilloporidae
Source: RefSeq, a predicted model, not a curated record